UACGUAGGUGGCAAGCGUUGUCCGGAUUUAUUGGGUUUAAAGGGUGCGUAGGCGGUGAUUUAAGGCAGUGGUGAAAUACGGCAGCUUAACUGUCGAGGUGCCAUUGAUACUGGGUCACUUGAGUACUGAUGAGGUAGGCGGAAUGGACGGUGUAGCGGUGAAAUGCUUAGAGAUCGUCCAGAACACCGAUAGCGAAGGCAGCUUACUAAGGAGUAACUGACGCUGAGGCACGAAAGUGUGGGGAUCAAACAGG
RNAcentral lists this ribosomal RNA (253 nucleotides) under uncultured bacterium. RNAcentral describes it as "partial 16S ribosomal RNA". It matches the Rfam family "Bacterial small subunit ribosomal RNA", at positions 524 to 776 of the family's 1533-position model. The record is from RNAcentral.